AACGUAGGGUGCGAGCGUUGUCCGGAUUUAUUGGGCGUAAAGAGCUCGUAGGCGGCUCGUCGCGUCGACCGUGAAAACCCGCGGCUUAACUGCGGGCUUGCGGUUGAUACGGGCGGGCUAGAGUUCGGUAGGGGAGACUGGAAUUCCUGGUGUAGCGGUGAAAUGCGCAGAUAUCAGGAGGAACACCGGUGGCGAAGGCGGGUCUCUGGGCCGAUACUGACGCUGAGGAGCGAAAGCGUGGGGAGCGAACAGG
Molecule: ribosomal RNA, 253 nt
Filed under: uncultured bacterium
Lineage: Bacteria
Description: partial 16S ribosomal RNA
Rfam family: Bacterial small subunit ribosomal RNA
Source: RNAcentral